RNAcentral lists this ribosomal RNA (438 nucleotides) under uncultured bacterium. RNAcentral's name for it is "bacterial SSU rRNA". It matches the Rfam family "Bacterial small subunit ribosomal RNA", at positions 30 to 469 of the family's 1533-position model. The record is from RNAcentral.
AUUGAACGCUGGCGGCAUGCCUUACACAUGCAAGUCGAACGGCAGCACGGGAGCAAUCCUGGUGGCGAGUGGCGAACGGGUGAGUAAUAUAUCGGAACGUGCCCGGUCGUGGGGGAUAACGUAGCGAAAGCUACGCUAAUACCGCAUACGAUCUACGGAUGAAAGCGGGGGAUCGCAAGACCUCGCGCGAUUGGAGCGGCCGAUAUCAGAUUAGGUAGUUGGUGAGGUAAAGGCUCACCAAGCCGACGAUCUGUAGCUGGUCUGAGAGGACGACCAGCCACACUGGGACUGAGACACGGCCCAGACUCCUACGGGAGGCAGCAGUGGGGAAUUUUGGACAAUGGGCGCAAGCCUGAUCCAGCAAUGCCGCGUGCAGGAUGAAGGCCUUCGGGUUGUAACUAGCUUUGUUACGGAACGAAACGGUGAGCUCUAAUACAG